Molecule: RNA transcript, 332 nt
Organism: Cynara cardunculus var. scolymus (artichoke)
Lineage: Eukaryota; Viridiplantae; Streptophyta; Magnoliopsida; Asterales; Asteraceae
Gene name: dolichyl-diphosphooligosaccharide--protein glycosyltransferase subunit 4C
Exons: 2
Source: RefSeq, a predicted model, not a curated record
UGGUGAUCGUACAGCACACCCCGAGUGAAGAGUAGAAUUACCCUCCCCAAAUUUCAAGGUAGCAAAUAUGUUCGAUGAUCAGGACCUGGGAUUCUUUGCCAAUUUUCUGGGCAUCUCUAUAUUCUUUCUGGUUAUCGCAUAUCAUUUCGUGAUGGCUGAUCCCAAGUACCAACCCAACUGAUGGUUGUUUUAUGAUAGCACCAGAAAUGUAGGAUCGGAUCCUUUUACGGUGAUCGUGUCUUAAUGUAAUCCAGACAUUUGAGAUAUUGAGUUUGAAUAAGAUCCGAGUAAAAUCUAUGAAUACCAUUAUAUUUAUGCAACUCGUUUUUCUA